Molecule: ribosomal RNA, 468 nt
Filed under: uncultured bacterium
Lineage: Bacteria
Description: partial 16S ribosomal RNA
Rfam family: Bacterial small subunit ribosomal RNA
Source: RNAcentral
GACGAACGCUGGCGGCGUGCUUAACACAUGCAAGUCGAACGGAAAGGCCCUGCCUUUGUGGGGUGCUCGAGUGGCGAACGGGUGAGUAACACGUGAGUAACCUGCCCUUGACUUUGGGAUAACUUCAGGAAACUGGGGCUAAUACCGGAUAGGAGCUCCUGCUGCAUGGUGGGGGUUGGAAAGUUUCGGCGGUUGGGGAUGGACUCGCGGCUGAUCAGCUUGUUGGUGGGGUAGUGGCUUACCAAGGCUUUGACGGGUAGCCGGCCUGAGAGGGUGACCGGCCACAUUGGGACUGAGAUACGGCCCAGACUCCUACGGGAGGCAGCAGUGGGGAAUAUUGCACAAUGGGCGGAAGCCUGAUGCAGCAACGCCGCGUGCGGGAUGACGGCCUUCGGGUUGUAAACCGCUUUCGCCUGUGACGAAGCGUGAGUGACGGUAAUGGGUAAAGAAGCACCGGCUAACUACGUG